RNAcentral lists this ribosomal RNA (468 nucleotides) under uncultured bacterium. RNAcentral's name for it is "bacterial SSU rRNA". It matches the Rfam family "Bacterial small subunit ribosomal RNA", at positions 28 to 507 of the family's 1533-position model. The record is from RNAcentral.
GACGAACGCUGGCGGCGUGCUUAACACAUGCAAGUCGAACGGUAAGGCUCCAGCUUGCUGGGGGUACACGAGUGGCGAACGGGUGAGUAACACGUGGGUGACCUGCCCUGCACUUCGGGGGUAAGCCUGGGAAACUGGGUCUAAUACCGGAUAGGACCAUGGUGUGGAUGCUGUGGUGGAAAGUUUUUUCGGUGUGGGAUGGGCCCGCGGCCUAUCAGCUUGUUGGUGGGGUAAUGGCCUACCAAGGCGGCGACGGGUAGCCGGCCUGAGAGGGUGGACGGCCACAUUGGGACUGAGACACGGCCCAGACUCCUACGGGAGGCAGCAGUGGGGAAUAUUGCACAAUGGGCGGAAGCCUGAUGCAGCGACGCCGCGUGGGGGAUGACGGCCUUCGGGUUGUAAACUCCUUACACCAUCGACGAAGGGUUUCUGACGGUAGAUGGAGAAGAAGCACCGGCUAACUACGUG